Molecule: long non-coding RNA, 1304 nt
Filed under: Theobroma cacao (cacao)
Lineage: Eukaryota; Viridiplantae; Streptophyta; Magnoliopsida; Malvales; Malvaceae
Description: long non-coding RNA (TCAC_LNC003531)
Source: RNAcentral
CGCCAAAAACAUGGUGUAAAAGAUAAAUAUGUUCAUACAUAUUUUAAAUAAGAUAACUGAAAUAUAAAAUUACUUUUACAAUUACACGUGGGCCCCUAUUUAUCAAGAAAGUGUAAGGCUACAAACGCUUACUUUCUAGGAUGCAACUCCGAGAUUAAUUCUCGUCUUAAUCAACUAUCAACAAACUGUCCUGAGCCUGAAAAAUGGAUAGAAAGAGGGGUGAGAUUAUGAUUACAUAAUCUCAGUGAGUAGACAAACACCAUCUAAACUAUCUAAAGGCGAGUAAAAGGAGACAAAUAAAAAUAAUUCAUUUUAGCAAAUUUUUCACAACACGAAUAUUCAUUUCAACCAAAUAAUCAAUAUGGCUAGUGAAUUUCUCAAAACUUGACUCAUUCCAAAUCCUGUACUCAGGGACACCUGGACUAGGGGUAUCCAACCGAGUCUGCCAAGGCUGUGAAAAAUUUUAUAUAAUCAUAAAACUUGUUUUUAUUUUGAAAAAAAGUAGUAGUUCCUUGGCGUUGACUGAGUCUCACUUCACGUUGUGGUUAACGUGAAGUGCACUCAAAAAGCCCACCUCAGGAGAUACCUUACGCCUCUCUACGACCAAGGUGAGAAGAUAAAGGAGUUUACCUUGCCCCUCUAAUAAGCUGAUCCACGAAACCCCUCCACUGCAGUAGCUAAUCUUUAUUUUAUCUACCACCUGAUUUAUAAAAUCCUUAUCUGCAUGACAUGGUAAUUUAUCGUAAUCUAGCCUCUCAAGGCUGAAUACAUAGUAUAUAUAAUUUUGAUACAAAUACCGUCUUUGCCAUUCAUGCUUACAUAUUGUUAUAAGCCAUAUAAUUUAAAACACAAUUUAUAACACAAGCAGGCAGUCUCCAAUUACUUUAUUUUCAAAACCAGUAUUCAAUUUUUCAGAAAAUUUAUAAAAUCAUUUUAUAAAAUCACAAUUUCUUCUAAAACAUAGCAAUUUACCAUUUAAACCCAUUUUUAAUAAAAUCACACAAUUGUAUAAAACUACUCUAGAUAAUUAAGACGAUAAUAAGUUUACUCACAGUAUUAGGAGUAAAAAUACUCAUAUUUUCAGUCCGCGAGUACAGUCCUUUACUCGUAUCCAAUGGCUCACCACCUAGCCAUAAUCCAUGACACAUAUUCUAAUUAAAUUGUGUCUAACAGUCAUAAGCUAUUUUAGGCUCGAUAUAUAUGCAUGAUAUGAAAUGAAAAAUGCACGGGUAGCCAUCUAGACUCGGUAUUGGCCUAAGUUGAUUUUUCAUCCGAUAAAUUGGCCAAUGCAUCCAAUUUCACUC